AGCGAACGCUGGCGGCAGGCCUAACACAUGCAAGUCGAACGAACCUUUCGGGGUUAGUGGCGGACGGGUGAGUAACACGUGGGAACGUGCCUUUAGGUUCGGAAUAACUCAGGGAAACUUGUGCUAAUACCGAAUGUGCCCUUCGGGGGAAAGAUUAAUCGCCUUUAGAGCGGCCCGCGUCUGAUUAGCUAGUUGGUUGAGGUAAUGGCUCACCAAGGCGACGAUCAGUAGCUGGUCUGAGAGGAUGAUCAGCCACAUUGGGACUGAGACACGGCCCAAACUCCUACGGCAGGCAGCAGUGGGGAAUCUUGCGCAAUGGGCGAAAGCCUGACGCAGCCAUGCCGCGUGAAUGAUGAAGGUCUUAGGAUUGUAAAAUUCUUUCACCGGGGACGAUAAUGACGGUACCCGGAGAAGAAGCCCCGGCUAACUUCGUG
RNAcentral lists this ribosomal RNA (434 nucleotides) under uncultured bacterium. Its description in RNAcentral is "partial 16S ribosomal RNA". It matches the Rfam family "Bacterial small subunit ribosomal RNA", at positions 29 to 507 of the family's 1533-position model. The record is from RNAcentral.